Molecule: long non-coding RNA, 263 nt
Filed under: Elaeis guineensis (African oil palm)
Lineage: Eukaryota; Viridiplantae; Streptophyta; Magnoliopsida; Arecales; Arecaceae
Description: long non-coding RNA (EGUI_LNC010100)
Source: RNAcentral
GGCUUCACUAUCAGUUGAUUUUCUAUGGUGAUUGACUACUCUCCGAAUCUCUUUUAGACUUUCUCCCAUCACGAUCGACUUUACUCCGAGCUUCUUUCAAACUUUGUCAAUAUUCGGGCUUCUCCAGCAGCAGGACUUCUACAGUAACCGGACUCCAUCCAAGUUUCUACAGUGGUCGACCACCUUUCGAAUUUCAUCCGAGCUUCUACAGUAAGCGAAUUUCGUCCGAACUUCUAUUGCAAGCGGACUUUAGCUGAGCUUCU